ACAGACGUCGAAUCCAGCAAAAAUUUCCUGACCGACUUCGGGAGAGAGAGGAAUUAUUGCUACGUGCCUCUUUCCCAGUGAAGAAAAUCUCUGUUGGCUGCGAGCAGAGAAGCGGCGGAAGGAUUCCCGACUCCGGGAAGCCAGGUGUCGGAAGGAAGAGGUACGCUUGAAGGGGGUCCGGCUGCCCGACUCUGCACUCGUCCGUUCAUGGCCCACCGUGGUGGUCACCAAAUUGAGGGCUUCCUGGAAGGACCUCCUCACGGUGCCCAUCCACUGGGUCAUGUGGGUCUGAGCCACUGUGAGUUUAUCUCCCAGCUGUCUCUCCCUCCCUCUCUGGAAGGCAACACUGGGCCAGGAUCUCACUCUAUUGCCCAGGCUGGACUGCAGUGGCGUGAUCAUAGCUCACUGCAGCCUUGGCCUCCCAGGCUCAAGUGAUCCUCCCACCUCAGCCUCCUGAGUAGCUGAGACUACAGAUGGAGCAACACCGUCAGUCAGAAGGUAGCAGAUGGCACAGGGCUUCCGCAUAAGGCCUGCAUCACCUGAGUCAUGGUUUUCUCAUCUUGUAUGAGGCCCACCCGCUUCAAAAGGUUGCGACAAAAAAACAACUGAGAUAAUUUGUGCCCCUGGCACGUAGUAAACACUCAAUAAGGCCGGGCGCAGUGGCUCACACCUGUAAUCCCAGCACUUUCGGAGGCUGAGGCGGGUGGAUCACUUGAGGCCAGGAGUUCGAUACCAGCCUGACCAACGCGGCAAAACCUCGUCUCUACUAAAAAUACAAUAAUUAACCAGACAUAGUGGUGUGCACCUGUAGUUCCAGCUACUCAGGAGCCUGAGGCAGGAGCAUCUCUUGAACCCAGGAGGUGGAGGUUGCAGUGAGCGGAGAUCGUACCACUGCACUCCAGCCUGGGUGACAGAACAAGACUCUGUCUCAAAACAACAACAACAACAA
Molecule: long non-coding RNA, 949 nt
Organism: Mandrillus leucophaeus (drill)
Lineage: Eukaryota; Metazoa; Chordata; Mammalia; Primates; Cercopithecidae
Exons: 5
Source: RefSeq, a predicted model, not a curated record